AGUAAACGGCGAGUGAAGCGGGAAGAGCUCAAAUUUGAAAUCUGGUAGCCUUCGGUUGCCCGAGUUGUAAUCUAGAGAAGUGUUUUCCGCGUUGGCCCAUGUACAAGUCCCUUGGAACAGGGCGUCAUAGAGGGUGAGAAUCCCGUCCUUGACAUGGACCCCCAAUGCUUUGUGAUACACUUUCAACGAGUCGAGUUGUUUGGGAAUGCAGCUCAAAAUGGGUGGUGAAUUCCAUCUAAAGCUAAAUAUUGGCGAGAGACCGAUAGCGAACAAGUACCGUGAGGGAAAGAUGAAAAGCACUUUGGAAAGAGAGUUAAACAGUACGUGAAAUUGUUGAAAGGGAAACGAUUGAAGUCAGUCAUGCUCUUUGGAUUAAGCCGUUCUGCGGUGUAUUUCAUUGAGCGGGGUCAACAUCAGUUUUGAUCGCUGGAAAAGGGCAGGAGGAAGGUAGCACUCUCGGGUGAACUUAUAGCCUCUUGUCGUAUACAGUGAUUGGGACUGAGGAACGCAGCAUGCCUUUUGGCCGGGAUUCGUCCACGUACAUGCUU
Molecule: ribosomal RNA, 548 nt
Filed under: Naganishia globosa
Lineage: Eukaryota; Fungi; Basidiomycota; Tremellomycetes; Filobasidiales; Filobasidiaceae
Description: eukaryotic LSU rRNA
Rfam family: Eukaryotic large subunit ribosomal RNA
Source: RNAcentral